AUACGGAGGGUGCAAGCGUUAUCCGGAUUCAUUGGGUUUAAAGGGUGCGCAGGCAGACUUGUAAGUCAGUGGUGAAAUCCCGGGGCUCAACCUCGGAACUGCCAUUGAUACUGCAAGUCUUGAGUUUGGUUGAAGUGGGCGGAAUGUAGCAUGUAGUGGUGAAAUGCAUAGAUAUGCUACAGAACACCGAUCGCGAAGGCAGCUCACUAAACCAACACUGACGCUCAGGCACGAAAGCGUGGGGAGCGAACAGGAUUAGAAACCCCAGUAGUCC
This 274-nucleotide ribosomal RNA is filed under the name uncultured bacterium. Its description in RNAcentral is "partial 16S ribosomal RNA". It matches the Rfam family "Bacterial small subunit ribosomal RNA", at positions 523 to 796 of the family's 1533-position model. The record is from RNAcentral.